RNAcentral lists this ribosomal RNA (273 nucleotides) under uncultured bacterium. RNAcentral's name for it is "partial 16S ribosomal RNA". It matches the Rfam family "Bacterial small subunit ribosomal RNA", at positions 335 to 605 of the family's 1533-position model. The record is from RNAcentral.
GGUCCUACGGGGGGCAGCAGUGAGGAAAAUUGGUCAAUGGGAACGAGCCUGAACCAGCCAAGCCGCGUGAGGGAAGACGGUCCUAUGGAUUGUAAACCUCUUUUGUCGGGGAGCAAAAGACGCCACGUGUGGCGUUCCGAGAGUACCCGACGAAAACCACUCGGCUAACUCCGUGCCAGCAGCCGCGGUAAUACGGAGGAUGUGAGCGUUAUCCGGAUUUAUUGGGUUUAAAGGGUGCGCAGGCGGAAGAUCAAGUCAGCGGUAAAAUUGAGA